Molecule: non-coding RNA, 392 nt
Organism: Pogona vitticeps (central bearded dragon)
Lineage: Eukaryota; Metazoa; Chordata; Lepidosauria; Squamata; Agamidae
Source: RefSeq, a predicted model, not a curated record
CUCUUCUGCCCCCAUGCAAACUCUUCCUAUCUCUCCUGCCCAUCCAAAUCCCCUCCCCAUGCCUACUGCCCCCUUUCCUCCUGCCCUUCAGAAUCCCCUCCUCAUGUCUUCUGUCCCCUUUCCUCCUGCCCCUACAAGGCCUCCCGGGGUGUCUUCCACCCUAACCCAUCCUUCCCCCAACCCUCCUCCCUCCCUCCCCAGAAAGCGGAAGCGCGAGGAAGACAGCACCACUUCCACCGCCCCCCAGAAGACCCAGCCGAGGGACAGCACAUCGGGGAAGAGGAAGGCUAAAGUCAAGUGGUUGGCUCCAUCAUCUUUCCACUUUGGUUUAUCAAAACAGGCAUGCUCAGCUCCUCCAGCUGUUCCAGCCUCCGGGGAGGAGCCAAUGGACU